CAGGGCCAAGAGACAGAUUUGCUUUCCUUUUUCUCAUGCUUGCAAGCUCCUUCACCUGGAAACAUGAUUUACCUGGGUCCUGCCAUGGUUUCUAGGCUUCUCAGUUUAGUGUCCCUUUGUCUCCUGGGAGCAAAGCAUACAGAAGCUGGAGUUACUCAGUUCCCCAGCCACAGGGUAAUAGAGAAGGGCCAGGCUGUAACUCUGAGAUGUGACCCAAUUUCUGGACAUGAUUAUCUUUAUUGGUAUCGACGUGUUAUGGGAAAAGAAAUAAAAUUUCUGAUAUACUUUCUGAGAGCGUCUAUGCAGGAUGAGUCCGGUAUGCCCAACAAGCGAUUCUCAGCUGAAAGGACUGGAGGGACGUAUUCUACUCUGAAGGUGCAGCCUGCAGAACUGGAGGAUUCUGGAGUUUAUUUCUGUGCCAGCAGCCAAGACACAGUGCUUCACAGUCAUGUCCUUGCUGUACAAAACCAUAGCCUUCUCCUCUCAACUCACAGCCGCCCAAAAGGAAGGCUUUCCCUGUGCCUCCUCCCCCAAGGGAGGGGAGAUAAAGAACCAGAACUAACUCAUGAAAUACAAGAGUAUUCCAAGAAGAUUUGGAUGAAAAUACUUGUAGUUUGGGGGAUCUCUGAAGUUCUUUAAACAGAACUCAAUCUAUGUGUUUCUGAUUUUAUUUUUUGAAGUGUUAUGUUGCCCUGGUUAUAAAGCACAGCAGCCUUCUUGUUUAUCCUGUUGCUCUGAAA
Macaca mulatta (Rhesus monkey) is the source of this 740-nucleotide non-coding RNA. The record is from the annotation of a RefSeq genome assembly. Lineage: Eukaryota; Metazoa; Chordata; Mammalia; Primates; Cercopithecidae.